This 496-nucleotide ribosomal RNA is filed under the name uncultured Chloroflexota bacterium. Its description in RNAcentral is "bacterial SSU rRNA". It matches the Rfam family "Bacterial small subunit ribosomal RNA", at positions 384 to 896 of the family's 1533-position model. Lineage: Bacteria; Bacillati; Chloroflexota. The record is from RNAcentral.
UGAUGCAGCAACGCCGCGUGGGGAUGAAGGCCUUUGGGUUGUAAACCCCUUUUCUCGGGGAAGAGGAAGGACGGUACUCGAGGAAUCAGUCACGGCUAACUACGUGCCAGCAGCCGCGGUAACACGUAGGUGGCGAGCGUUAUCCGGAAUUACUGGGCGUAAAGCGCACGUAGGCGGCUGCUUAAGUCUGACGUAAAAGCUCUUGGCUUAACUGGGAGAGGACGUUGGAGACUGGGCGGCUUGAGGCGAUGAGAGGGGCGUAGAAUUCCCGGUGUAGUGGUGGAAUGCGUAGAUAUCGGGAGGAAUACCAGUGGCGAAAGCGGCGUCCUAGCAUUGGCCUGACGUUCAUGUGCGAAAGCGUGGGGAGCGAACGGGAUUAGAUACCCCGGUAGUCCACGCUGUAAACGAUGAGCACUAGGUGUGGGGAGUGUUAAAACUGUCCGUGCCGAAGCCAACGCGUUAAGUGCUCCGCCUGGGGAGUACGGCCGCAAGGCUA